RNAcentral lists this ribosomal RNA (523 nucleotides) under uncultured bacterium. RNAcentral describes it as "bacterial SSU rRNA". It matches the Rfam family "Bacterial small subunit ribosomal RNA", at positions 524 to 1050 of the family's 1533-position model. The record is from RNAcentral.
UACGGAGGAUCCGAGCGUUAUCCGGAUUUAUUGGGUUUAAAGGGUGCGCAGGCGGGUUGUUAAGUCGGUGGUGAAAUCCCGGGGCUCAACCCCUGGCUUGCCAUCGAAACUGGUUACCUUGAGUGUGGGUGAGGCAGGCGGAAUUCGUGGUGUAGCGGUGAAAUGCAUAGAUAUCACGAGGAACUCCGAUCGCGUAGGCAGCUUGCCAUUCCAUAACUGACGCUCAUGCACGAAGGCGUGGGGAUCAAACAGGAUUAGAUACCCUGGUAGUCCACGCGGUAAACUAUGAUUACUGGUUGUUCGCGAUACACUGUGAGCGACUGAGCGAAAGCGUUAAGUAAUCCACCUGGGGAGUACGUUCGCAAGAAUGAAACUCAAAGGAAUUGACGGGGGCCCGCACAAGCGGAGGAACAUGUGGUUUAAUUCGAUGAUACGCGAGGAACCUUACCCGGGCUUGAAAUGCGGACGGCAGGCGGAGAGACCCGCCUUCCCCUCGGGGCGUCCGUGUAGGUGCUGCAUGGUU